CCGCCACAGCGCGGCACUGUCGGUCGCUAUGGAGACGCCUAACACCGCGCAGCUUGACCAUUAGAGACCAGUGUUUGAGCCUAACAGCGCAGCUUGAACCAUUCGACUAUAUCAUAUCAUAGAUCAUAUAGACCCGUGUUUGAGCCUAACACAAGGACAUUCAGAGAUUUCUGCGCCGCUCGGAGUCUGUGCAGCACUCACAGAGAACCUGCAGCACCUGAGAGAUCCUGCCAAGAAAAGAGCAUCUCCGUAUGGAGCAGAAGACGGGACCUGGCAAGUGGCUAGAGAACAGUCCCUGUGAGUCUGGCUUUGUGAGUGAUCAGUCCUCCAUGGAAAUCCCACCGGUCUUCAGAGAAAAUGUAAUGGUGACUUCACUGCCACCUGUUCACCUAAAU
RNAcentral lists this long non-coding RNA (395 nucleotides) under Sinocyclocheilus grahami. RNAcentral describes it as "lncRNA (ENSSGRG00000009026.1)". Lineage: Eukaryota; Metazoa; Chordata; Actinopteri; Cypriniformes; Cyprinidae. The record is from RNAcentral.